This 208-nucleotide long non-coding RNA is filed under the name Elaeis guineensis (African oil palm). RNAcentral describes it as "long non-coding RNA (EGUI_LNC059362)". Lineage: Eukaryota; Viridiplantae; Streptophyta; Magnoliopsida; Arecales; Arecaceae. The record is from RNAcentral.
CACUAAUCACUAAUAUAUUUAUCAUAUAGAGGUUUCGGUAUUGCAAGGUUUGGCUUCUCACCACCAACACUUAGAAUUGUAUUUUGCUUAUGUCAUCAUAUUCAUUUGUAAUGUACAACGAAGUUUCACUAUUGUGGAGCUUAGUUUUAUUGUCCACUUCUUAGAGCUUCUUCUAUAUAUAAUAGAUAACAGAUAAUAAAUAUGUUAU